Non-coding RNA from Rattus norvegicus (Norway rat), 69 nucleotides. The record is from Rfam. NCBI's taxonomy places the organism in Eukaryota, Metazoa, Chordata, Mammalia, Rodentia, Muridae.
GGGGAUUUGGCUCAGUGGUAGAGCGCUUGCCUAGCAAGCGCAAGGCCCUGGGUUCGGGUCCCAGCUCCA